This 253-nucleotide ribosomal RNA is filed under the name uncultured bacterium. Its description in RNAcentral is "partial 16S ribosomal RNA". It matches the Rfam family "Bacterial small subunit ribosomal RNA", at positions 524 to 776 of the family's 1533-position model. The record is from RNAcentral.
UACGGAGGUCCCGAGCGUUGUUCGGAAUUACUGGGCGUAAAGGGCGCGUAGGCGGCCUUCUAAGUCAGACGUGAAAUCCCCCGGCUUAACCUGGGAACUGCGUCUGAUACUGGAGGGCUUGAGUGCGGGAGAGGGAUGUGGAAUUCCAGGUGUAGCGGUGAAAUGCGUAGAUAUCUGGAGGAACACCGGUGGCGAAGGCGGCAUCCUGGACCGGUAUUGACGCUGAGGCGCGAAAGCCAGGGGAGCAAACGGG